Molecule: transfer RNA, 90 nt
Filed under: Acidobacteriota bacterium
Lineage: Bacteria; Pseudomonadati; Acidobacteriota
Also listed under: 2 other names
Description: tRNA-Ser
Rfam family: tRNA
About the family: Transfer RNA (tRNA) molecules are approximately 80 nucleotides in length. Their secondary structure includes four short double-helical elements and three loops (D, anti-codon, and T loops).
Source: RNAcentral
GGAGGGGUGGCUGAGUGGUCUAAAGCAGCGGUCUUGAAAACCGCCGGCCGUUCACGCGGCCCGUGGGUUCGAAUCCCACCCCCUCCGCCA